ACUGUCAAUCUAUCUACCACUGUCAAUCUAUUUAUCACUGCUAAUCUAUCGCUGCUAAUCUAUCACUGCUAAUCUAUCACUGCUAAUCUAUUGCUGCUAAUCUAUCACUGUUAAUCUAUCAUCAUUAAUCUAUCUACUGCUGUCAAUCUAUCUACUGCUGUCAAUCUAUCUACUGCUGCCAAUCU
This 185-nucleotide small RNA is filed under the name Histoplasma capsulatum. Its description in RNAcentral is "hypothetical RNA". Lineage: Eukaryota; Fungi; Ascomycota; Eurotiomycetes; Onygenales; Ajellomycetaceae. The record is from RNAcentral. RNAcentral also lists the same sequence under 1 other name.